Molecule: non-coding RNA, 1011 nt
Organism: Linepithema humile (Argentine ant)
Lineage: Eukaryota; Metazoa; Arthropoda; Insecta; Hymenoptera; Formicidae
Source: RefSeq, a predicted model, not a curated record
UACCUGUGGAUUGCUUUGAUGUACAAUAAAUGUUUCAAUAAUCAGAUAUUUAACAAUAAGUUAUAUUAAUAUCAUAUAAUAGCUAUGUAGCUACGUAUUUUACGAAUAUAUUGGUUCUUUUCGGAAGUAGGAACGAAAGAGUUAACAAAGGAAUGAGAUUUAUCAUAAUUUUAUAUCGUGCAGCAACAAAUGAAAGAUUUAUGCUAUUUUUUACUAAUAUUUUAGCAAGUUUUUAAAAACAUCAAGUUACCUGGUGUAAGAGAUAUCUGUGAUUAAUCGAGCUGUAAAUUUAUUCCUGUCAAAUGCAAAGUCGUACAUAAAGAAAAUUCCGUAGAAAUUUUACAUUCUAUGCAAAUCAGAAAAUGUAUCACAAUUGAUACGUGUAUGUAAAACUUGCUUGCAUUGAAAUAAUGAGAGAUUUGCAAAUAAUGUGAUCCUUGUCUAGAUAUCUUGAACAAAUUAAUUACAAGUACAGUAUAAUUAAUAUACAUAUAAUAUACAUAUCUAAAUAAGAGAAACAUAUGUUGGCGUUUGAGAACUACUGGCUUCACAUCGGAGUGCUGCGAUAACGCGGUGCACUUGAGUAAAAUGGCAAAACGCACACUGGGAGGCGACCAAUGAACGGCGUGGAUCGUUUCGCGAGGUGAACUCGGUGCAUCUCGACCGGCGUGCGACUUCGCCCGACGUCGCUGUGACUUCGGUCUCAUGCACACAUACAAACCCAUACAUGAUAUCGACAUGUCGCGUAAAUUGCACACAUUGCUGCAAUACGGUCUGCUGUGCGAAGCGAAAGCUGCUCGCGUGAGCUAGGAUCAAUGUGGAUUAAAUAUGAAUAUCCUCGUAUUCGACGCUAGACGGUGCAGAGUUUGGCCUAUUUGCGUGAAUAAACAGCGAUAAAAGAUAUUCGCAGGAAUUGUCUUGAUUAAAUUUGCGCUCUACAAGAUGCAACUGUAUUACAUUUAAUCGUUUUAUUACUCUGAUUGAAUCAAUAAAAUGAUUAUUUUAUCUCAA